UACGUAGGGUGCAAGCGUUAAUCGGAAUUACUGGGCGUAAAGCGUGCGCAGGCGGUUUUGUAAGUCUGACGUGAAAUCCCCGGGCUCAACCUGGGAAUUGCGUUGGAGACUGCAAGGCUGGAGUCUGGCAGAGGGGGGUAGAAUUCCACGUGUAGCAGUGAAAUGCGUAGAGAUGUGGAGGAACACCGAUGGCGAAGGCAGCCCCCUGGGUCAAGACUGACGCUCAUGCACGAAAGCGUGAGGAGCAAACAGG
This 253-nucleotide ribosomal RNA is filed under the name uncultured bacterium. Its description in RNAcentral is "partial 16S ribosomal RNA". It matches the Rfam family "Bacterial small subunit ribosomal RNA", at positions 524 to 776 of the family's 1533-position model. The record is from RNAcentral.